AUUGAACGCUGGCGGCAGGCCUAACACAUGCAAGUCGAACGGUAACAGGAAGAAGCUUGCUUCUUUGCUGACGAGUGGCGGACGGGUGAGUAAUGUCUGGGAAACUGCCUGAUGGAGGGGGAUAACUACUGGAAACGGUAGCUAAUACCGCAUAACGUCGCAAGACCAAAGAGGGGGACCUUCGGGCCUCUUGCCAUCGGAUGUGCCCAGAUGGGAUUAGCUAGUAGGUGGGGUAACGGCUCACCUAGGCGACGAUCCCUAGCUGGUCUGAGAGGAUGACCAGCCACACUGGAACUGAGACACGGUCCAGACUCCUACGGGAGGCAGCAGUGGGGAAAAUUACACAAUGGGCGCAAGCCUGAUGCAGCCAUGCCGCGUGUAUGAAGAAGGCCUUCGGGUUGUAAAGUACUUUCAGCGGGGAGGAAGGGAGUAAAGUUAAUACCUUUGCUCAUUGACGUUACCCGCAGAAGAAGCACCGGCUAACUCCGUG
Molecule: ribosomal RNA, 490 nt
Filed under: uncultured bacterium
Lineage: Bacteria
Description: partial 16S ribosomal RNA
Rfam family: Bacterial small subunit ribosomal RNA
Source: RNAcentral